This 430-nucleotide ribosomal RNA is filed under the name Pseudomonadota bacterium. RNAcentral's name for it is "Proteobacteria bacterium partial 16S ribosomal RNA". It matches the Rfam family "Bacterial small subunit ribosomal RNA", at positions 355 to 776 of the family's 1533-position model. The record is from RNAcentral. Lineage: Bacteria; Pseudomonadati; Pseudomonadota.
UGGGGAAUAUUGGACAAUGGGGGGAACCCUGAUCCAGCCAUGCCGCGUGUGUGAAGAAGGCCUUAUGGUUGUAAAGCACUUUAAGCGAGGAGGAGGGUACUGGUAUUAAUACUACCAGCUACUGGACGUUACUCGCAGAAUAAGCACCGGCUAACUCUGUGCCAGCAGCCGCGGUAAUACAGAGGGUGCAAGCGUUAAUCGGAAUUACUGGGCGUAAAGCGCGCGUAGGUGGUUCGUUAAGUUGAAUGUGAAAGCCCCGGGCUCAACCUGGGAACUGCAUACAAAACUGGCGAGCUAGAGUAGGGCAGAGGGUGGUGGAAUUUCCUGUGUAGCGGUGAAAUGCGUAGAUAUAGGGAGGAACACCAGUGGCGAAGGCGACCACCUGGGCUCAUACUGACACUGAGGUGCGAAAGCGUGGGGAGCAAACAGG